GAUCUUUUUGGGCAUUGUCCUCUGCACCUGCAUUGUCUUCGUCAAAAUCACCGUGAUUUUUAUUCCGUACUGAAAGUUGAUCAUUAGACGAAGUAAAUCUUACAUUACUAAUUGAAUAUUCUUUUUAAAUCUCCAUAUGAUAUGAACGGACCUAGAAAUGUUAAAUGGACACUUUAAAAAUAGAGAAAUUCUAGAAAUUUUUGAAAAGAACAAAACAUCUCGCCAUCAAUCAGUCGACUCAAAUCAUCAUAACUAUCGGAUCUAUUGUGUUUUCUAAAAAAAUUACUGACCUAUACCAUUAUGAAAAUAACCUAAAAUAACCCCCUAAAUUUAUAUCCAAAUUACCCACCUCUAUUAUUAUAUAAAACAAACUAAAGUAACCUCUAAUCUUCAUCAAAAUUACCCACUUCUGUCAUUAUAAAAAUAAUUUAAAAUAACCCCCUAAAUCUGCAACUAAAUUACCCACUACUAAUACUUCAAAACAAUAAUUGAAGUAACCCCUUAAGUUUGCAUUCUAUAUUACCCACAUAUGCCAUUAUUAAAA
This 544-nucleotide long non-coding RNA is filed under the name Setaria viridis. Its description in RNAcentral is "long non-coding RNA (SVIR_LNC007375)". The record is from RNAcentral. Lineage: Eukaryota; Viridiplantae; Streptophyta; Magnoliopsida; Poales; Poaceae.